This 331-nucleotide unclassified non-coding RNA is filed under the name soil metagenome. Its description in RNAcentral is "partial contains 5.8S ribosomal RNA, internal transcribed spacer 2, and large subunit ribosomal RNA". The stretch from base 1 to 119 matches the Rfam family "5.8S ribosomal RNA", at positions 35 to 154 of the family's 154-position model. The record is from RNAcentral.
GAUGAAGACGCAGCGAAAUGCGAUAAGUAGUGUGAAUUGCAGAAUUCAGUGAAUCAUCGAAUCUUUGAACGCACAUUGCGCCCUUUGGUAUUCCUUAGGGCAUGCCUGUUCGAGCGUCAUUUAAACCUUCAAGCUCAGCUUGGUGUUGGGUGACUGUCCGCUUCACCGCGGACUCGCCUCAAAAUUAUUGGCGGCCGGUACAUUGGCUUCGAGCGCAGCAGAAACGCGAACUCGGGCCCGUCGUAUUGGCUCCCAGAAGCUAUCUUCACAAUUUUGACCUCGGAUCAGGUAGGGAUACCCGCUGAACUUAAGCAUAUCAAUAAGCGGAGGA